This 96-nucleotide signal recognition particle RNA is filed under the name Alphaproteobacteria bacterium. Its description in RNAcentral is "signal recognition particle sRNA small type". It matches the Rfam family "Bacterial small signal recognition particle RNA". From Rfam's summary of the family: The signal recognition particle (SRP) is a universally conserved ribonucleoprotein involved in the co-translational targeting of proteins to membranes. Lineage: Bacteria; Pseudomonadati; Pseudomonadota; Alphaproteobacteria. The record is from RNAcentral.
CGAGAGGUUGCGCGGGCGGACGCCUCGCCAACCCGGUCAGGUCCGGAAGGAAGCAGCCGUAACGAGUCCCGUCCGGGUCGUGUCAGCCUCUCACCC